UUUGAUCCUGGCUCAGAAUGAACGUUGGCAGCGUGGAUUAGGCAUGCAAGUCGAGCGACAAGUCUUCCUUCGGGGAGAUGGAGGAGCGGCUAACGGGGUAGUAAGGCAUCGGAACGUACCUUUUCGUCUGGGAUAGCCAUGGGAAACUGUGAGUAAUACCGGAUAAUAUCUUCGGAUCAAAGGUUUACUGCGAUUAGAGCGGCCGAUGUGAGACUAGGUAGUUGGUAGGGUAAUGGCCUACCAAGCCAGAGAUCUCUAGGGGGUGUGAGAGCAUGACCCCCACCACUGGAACUGAGACACUGUCCAGACACCUACGGGUGGCUGCAGUCGAGAGUCUUCGGCAAUGGGCGAAAGCCUGACCGAGCGACGCUGCGUGCGGGAUGAAGGCCCUUGGGUUGUAAACCGCUGUCAGAGGGGAUCAAAGGAAACUUGAGAGAGCCUCAGAGGAAGCGCGGGCUAAGUUCGUGCCAGCAGCCGCGGUAAUAAGGG
This 489-nucleotide ribosomal RNA is filed under the name uncultured bacterium. RNAcentral's name for it is "bacterial SSU rRNA". It matches the Rfam family "Bacterial small subunit ribosomal RNA", at positions 12 to 529 of the family's 1533-position model. The record is from RNAcentral.